Long non-coding RNA from Lycium barbarum (goji berry), 998 nucleotides. RefSeq lists it as uncharacterized. Lineage: Eukaryota; Viridiplantae; Streptophyta; Magnoliopsida; Solanales; Solanaceae. The transcript is spliced from 2 exons. The record is from RefSeq and is a predicted model, not a curated record.
UACUCUCCCCUUUCCCUUUCCCUUCGCGAAAAAACCCUAGCCGCCAUAUUUUUUUUCUCUCUAUGCGCCAGCAUCCCAAAAUAGGUAAUGGCACAGUGUGCCUUCGCUUUGUACAGUCAUGGUUCGAUCAUUUGAGGUAAAAGAUUAAUGCCUCAUCUCCAAACGACGCCAAACGCGACCUUAUCACGAUAAGUUCAACUCUUUUCUCUCCAAUUUCUGCUUUACAACGGUCAAGUAACUGAAUUUCUUUAAUUCGGUUUGUUGUGUUGUGAUUUUGAAUCCUUGAUUUUAUUCGUUCAAUAGGAACCAAGAGGAUUAAUUUUAUUUAUCUUAAAUUUGACCUUUUAUCCAUUUGUAUACUCGAAUCUAGGCCAUUGAUGCUCAAGGUGAGACUUGAAAGUCACAAAUCUAAGCUUGUCCCAUAUCGAUUCGAAAUUAGGGUUUGGGGAUUCUAUAAAUAGGGUCCCAAUCCUCACUAUUUGGGAGGCGGGCAACUGAAAUUUCACUUGCAUACUCGAAAUACUUAAGUUUUGAGCAUUUUAGCUUUAAAGACUUUAAUAGUUCGAGUGAAUUUAAAUUUUAAAGUGUUUUGUUUUCUGUUUUCUUGUGUUGAUUCUGUGGCCGAGUGUUGGGGUUGAGGAAGCAAGUUUCUACCAAGUCUAAUCUCUUCCAAGGCUGCGCAUCAAAGAGAGGUCAACUCUCCUUAUUUUGAUCGAGUCCAUGAGAAAAAUGGCAGGGGAAGCUACUAUUGUUCAAGCCCAGCUAUGGGUGAAAAUAGCUAACUGGUGGGCUUAGAUAGGCCCACCAGCCCAAACUCUCCCUUUAUAUUCAUUUUGUGUAAAAUUGUAUUUGUAAAAGAAUGCUUGAAAUUAUUGGAACCCAUAUGUAUGUUAGGACCUAGGAAACACCCAGUAAGUUAAGAAGGUUGCCACAACAAGUUAAUUUUCUAAAAAAAAAAAAAGGCCAAUAACCAUCUUUUAACUGAAAUAGUUUUAAAA